Molecule: ribosomal RNA, 776 nt
Filed under: uncultured Neocallimastigales
Lineage: Eukaryota; Fungi; Neocallimastigomycota; Neocallimastigomycetes; Neocallimastigales
Description: partial large subunit ribosomal RNA
Rfam family: Eukaryotic large subunit ribosomal RNA
Source: RNAcentral
CGCAUCUGUGCAUGCAGCAUAUCAAUAAGCGGAGGAAAAGAAACUAACAAGGAUUCCCCUAGUAACGGCGAGUGAAGCGGGAAGAGCUCAAAUUUGAAAUCUUAAAGGGUUUCCCUUUACGAAUUGUAGUUUAAAGAAGUGUUUUCUGUUGAGGUUUUGGUAAAAGUUCUUUGGAAUAGGACAUCAUAGAGGGUGAGAAUCCCGUAUUUGACCUUUACUUUCAACUUUGUGAUACACUUUCAAAGAGUCGGAUUGUUUGGGAAUGCAGUCCAAAAUGGGUGGUAAAUUUCAUCUAAAGCUAAAUAUUGGCGAGAGACCGAUAGCGAACAAGUACCGUGAGGGAAAGAUGAAAAGAACUUUGAAAAGAGAGUUAAACAGUAACGUGAAAUUGUCAAAAGGGAAGCGUUUGACACCAGUGUUGUUUUUCUGAAAAUCAAUUAAAGAACUGUUUAUGCUAAGUUGUUUAGACUUUAUCAGCUAAUCUGCUUAGUUUUGAGCUUUUCUUUAAUGCACUUUUCAGUUAACAAGUCAACAUCAAUUUCUUUUGCUGUAAAAAAGCUUGAGGAAGGUGGCUUGAGAUUCGUCUUAAGUGUUUAUAGCCUCUUGCCUAUGCAGUCGGAGAGAUUGAGGUCUGCAGUGUAGAUCCUUCGGGGCUAAAUGCAUUUGUGCUAAGUUAUAGCAUUUUAUAGACAACUUGUUGACUAUGAUUUGUCUUGUAGCUUACUCGCUUAUGUUAUUUUACCUACGCUUAGGAUGUUGAAGAUGUAGCACAUCAU